AACUCACGAACCGCGAGAUCAUGACCUGAGCCGAAGUCGGACGCUUAACCGACUGAGCCCCCCGGGCGCCCCAAAUCCCACUCCCUUCUUAUAGGAUUAGGAUUCUGCUGCAUUCUACCACCAGGGCAAUAACGUGAGCUACUCCCCAACUCUGAACAAGUAUCUUCAGUGAAGAUACUACCAUGGGAGGUGAGUAGAAAAGGCGUGGAAUUUGUUCAAGUUCAGCCCUGCCUCCCGAUGAGGUCUCUCCUCCGCUCUGAGGUGUGCCCAUGUAUGUCUCUUUCUUCCUGUGACCCUCCAGCGGCCAUCUGUCGGACAAAACGUGCAGGUUUGCGUCUUCAUACUUCACCAUAUUUCCUUAGUUAUGAGUUAACCGUGUACAAGAUGGCUGAGGCAAUGUUCAGGGCUGGUGUGUCCAGACUUCUGUAGGCUCAGGCACUCUGAAUCAAAAUAGACUUCACCCACACCAUUCAGCAAUUACACCCCACACCGAAUGCUGUUUUAUGUUUGCAAGAAUUUCUUCAUGGAGGCAAGGAGUUUGUCUUUUUUUUUUUUGUUCAAGGUUGAAUCUCUCGCACCUAAAACGACACCUGCUGGGCAGACCAUCAAUCAAUGCUUGUUGACUUGAAGAAUGACUGGCUGAAUUCAAAAUGCAGAAGUAGGGGAGAAGGAAGCACAUCCAAGGGAAGCUACGGAGCUUUAAAGAAUAUAUUAGGAGUUCAAAGCAGCCAGAGACUGAGAUGAGAAAAGUAGCUGCGGACGCCUCAACGGAAGUCGGGCUAGAAGGAAUCCAUUUGUAGAGCCGUGCGAUCACAGAAAAAAACUUUCUUGGAGCACAAUUUAUGAUAAAUGGUUCAAACAGAGGAACGUAAGUGCUUCCCGGAAAAUCAAAGCGCCUAGCCCCCAGAAUUGGCAACGGAGCCCUGGGCAGCCCCAGAUUUGUUGUCAUGUGCUCCCGGGUGAGUAGGAAUAAAACGGUGGAAGAGAUUUUAAACGUAUCUGCAGGAUUUGGGGCUGAAUUGCAAUUUGUACUAUUUCUAAGAUUUGACUAAGCUCAUUUUGCCCUCCAAAUCGCUAGAGAUGGCCACGCCAUAGCCACUUUUAAUGUCUUCUGACCUUUCAGCCAGGAAAUUAUUUCUAAUUCUAACUCGAGUCCAUUCAGCUCUAGGUUCAGCCUCGCAGAAGCUAAGGUCACGUGAAGCCUUGCUGACUUUGUCUCUCUCUGACCCCCACCUCACUGGCCCUGACCCAUCUUCAGGUUAGUUCUGGGGUACCUGCUCAUCCCCAGGAGGAAUCCUGUAUCUCGGCGGGUGCUACACCCAAGCAGGAGGAGGACCACAUUAGGGGCAGGUAAGUCAGAGGCUUCUUGGUUUCUUCCUCCGGGCAGGAGGCUCUCAGCAGGCCGGGGUUUCCAAGGGGGUCAUUGCUCAGCUGGGGACAGAAGACUCGGGACCACCAACUCUCCCACCAAAGCAAGGCUUGCGGUGCCCCACAUCGACUCAGGGACCCUCCAGACCCACAUGGGACAUCUCCUGAGAGACACAGAAUGAAGGGGACAGGGGACAGACAGAGCCCAAAGACUGUCUGCUGCAGACAUGCCUUUCCCUCUCUCCCCAGGGCAAGUGGCUCUACGGCCGUUUUGCAGGAAUGAUCUCUGACAUCUGCGUGCAGUCGCCAAGAAUUUACCCUACUCCUCUUUUCCCGUAAAAGAGAAAAAUAGAAGUAUUAGAAGUGUGUGCGUGCAGGUCUGUGUAGGUUCAGGGAAAGGUGGGUACAUGACUCAAUCUGCAUGGAUUUCGUUUGAAUACUGCCCUUCACCUUGUGUAUAGAAAU
Molecule: long non-coding RNA, 1833 nt
Organism: Herpailurus yagouaroundi (jaguarundi)
Lineage: Eukaryota; Metazoa; Chordata; Mammalia; Carnivora; Felidae
Exons: 3
Source: RefSeq, a predicted model, not a curated record